This 579-nucleotide unclassified non-coding RNA is filed under the name Dermacentor andersoni. RNAcentral describes it as "uncharacterized LOC126546220". The record is from RNAcentral. Lineage: Eukaryota; Metazoa; Arthropoda; Arachnida; Ixodida; Ixodidae.
ACGUGCCUUACCGCCCUAUUCGAAGCGUAUCGGGGUCUAAAAAAACAGUAUAUUGCAAAAAUGCUUUGCACCUGUGUCCUAUCCCUUAUUCCGUCCUUCUUGUGUCAUGGUGCUAAGCCCAACGUGUUUGGGAGUCGCUCUCUUGUUGGUAAGAAGCCUGGCACAGCCCCAGUUCCACAAGCGAGAAAAGUGCCGUCAAUUUCAAGGGCAGAAAGUUCAACGAUAUGGUCUUGCGCUGCUAUUAUGAAAAUACUGAAUGGGCCAACUCUCAGCAUAUGUGCGAAGGCGUUAUGUCGUUGCAGAUGAUAAUGACUUGCAUGAAAAGUACAAUGUUCGAGACUCCAAUACCGUCAUCAUACCAAAAAGUCUACGUGAUUGACUUCGCCGAUAAAGUCACUGAAUGUCUCGCCACGUUGCUGCACCACCCAAUGCCUUAUGGCAGAAGCGCCGCUGAAGUGAUUGGUGAAUAAAAAUCUUAACUCGCCUUAUCCGCUGACGUCUUCUAGGCGGCUGUCCCCUUGGAGAGGUUCUCCUUUUUGGAUUAAAAGCAUGCUACCUACUACACAGGUAUAUGAAUGU